CCUACGGGAGGCAGCAGUAGGGAAUCUUUCACAAUGGGCGAAAGCCUGAUGGAGCAACGCCGCGUGCAGGAUGAAGGCCUUCGGGUUGUAAACUGCUUUUAUAAGCGAGAAAUAUGAUGGUAACUUAUGAAUAAGGAUCGGCUAACUACGUGCCAGCAGCCGCGGUCAUACGUAGGAUCCGAGCAUUAUCCGGAGUGACUGGGUGUAAAGAGUUGCGUAGGUGGCAUAAUAAGUAGCUAGUGAAAUCUGGUGGCUCAACCAUUCAGACUAUUAGCUAAACUGUUAAGCUCGAGACCGUUAGGGGUAACUGGAAUUUCUAGUGUAGGAGUGAAAUCCGUAGAUAUUAGAAGGAACACCAAUAGCGUAGGCAGGUUGCUGGGACGGGUCUGACACUAAGGCACGUAAGCGUAGGGAGCAAACGGGAUUAGAUACCCUAGUAGUC
Molecule: ribosomal RNA, 442 nt
Filed under: uncultured bacterium
Lineage: Bacteria
Description: partial 16S ribosomal RNA
Rfam family: Bacterial small subunit ribosomal RNA
Source: RNAcentral